GAAUUGGUUGAGCUGGGAUUGGACUCCC
RNAcentral lists this small RNA (28 nucleotides) under Bombyx mori (domestic silkworm). Its description in RNAcentral is "ovarian small RNA-15318". Lineage: Eukaryota; Metazoa; Arthropoda; Insecta; Lepidoptera; Bombycidae. The record is from RNAcentral.